UACGUAGGGGGCAAGCGUUGUCCGGAUUUAUUGGGCGUAAAGAGCGUGUAGGCGGCCACACAGGUCUGCUGUGAAAACUCGAGGCUCAACCUCGAGCUGUCGGUGGAAACCGUGUGGCUAGAGUCCGGAAGAGGAGAGUGGGAUUCCCGGUGUAGCGGUGGAAUGCGCAGAUAUCAGGAGGAACACCGAUGGCGAAGGCAGGUCUCUGGGCCACUACUGACGCUGAGAAGCGAAAGCAUGGGGAGCGAACAGG
Molecule: ribosomal RNA, 253 nt
Filed under: uncultured bacterium
Lineage: Bacteria
Description: partial 16S ribosomal RNA
Rfam family: Bacterial small subunit ribosomal RNA
Source: RNAcentral